UACGAAGGGGGCUAGCGUUGUUCGGAGUUACUGGGCGUAAAGGGCGCGUAGGCGGCGCACCAAGUCAGGCGUGAAAGCCCUGGGCUCAACCCGGGAAUUGCGCUUGAGACUGGUGUGCUUGAGUACGGGAGAGGAUAGUGGAAUUCCCAGUGUAGAGGUGAAAUUCGUAGAUAUUGGGAAGAACACCGGUGGCGAAGGCGGCUAUCUGGACCGUAACUGACGCUGAGGCGCGAAAGCGUGGGUAGCAAACAGG
RNAcentral lists this ribosomal RNA (253 nucleotides) under uncultured bacterium. RNAcentral's name for it is "partial 16S ribosomal RNA". It matches the Rfam family "Bacterial small subunit ribosomal RNA", at positions 524 to 776 of the family's 1533-position model. The record is from RNAcentral.